GACAGCGGGUGCAACCGUUGUUCGGAAUUACUGGGCGUAAAGCGCGUGUAGGCGGCUAAGUAAGUCGGGCGUGAAAUCCCACGGCUCAACCGUGGAAGUGCACUCGAAACUGCAUAGCUAGAGUCCUGGAGAGGAAGGUGGAAUGCUUGGUGUAGAGGUGAAAUUCGUAGAUAUCAAGCGGAACACCGGUGGCGAAGGCGGCCUUCUGGACAGUGACUGACGCUGAGACGCGAAAGCGUGGGGAGCAAACAGG
RNAcentral lists this ribosomal RNA (253 nucleotides) under uncultured bacterium. RNAcentral's name for it is "partial 16S ribosomal RNA". It matches the Rfam family "Bacterial small subunit ribosomal RNA", at positions 524 to 776 of the family's 1533-position model. The record is from RNAcentral.